This 406-nucleotide transfer-messenger RNA is filed under the name Alphaproteobacteria bacterium. It matches the Rfam family "Alphaproteobacteria transfer-messenger RNA". From Rfam's summary of the family: Bacterial tmRNA, also known as 10Sa RNA or SsrA, is named for its dual tRNA and mRNA-like properties. Its role is to liberate the mRNA from a stalled ribosome. Lineage: Bacteria; Pseudomonadati; Pseudomonadota; Alphaproteobacteria. RNAcentral also lists the same sequence under 1 other name. The record is from RNAcentral.
UUCUUUGAAAUUUUAACUUUUUUUCGCUAUAGUAAAAAUACGGGCUUGCCCGUUAUGACGCUAAACGCGGUUGCGGAAUAAACGUCGUGGACCCGGGGGCAGUACCCGGCAGCUCCACCAUUUUAGCCCUCCUCGACGGCCGGGCUAACAGCAUGGGGCUGAAACAGGAUCGACACGCGUGGUAAAGGCUUCUUGUGGCGUCCGGUUUUUCCGCCGUUAUCGGAUAAAUUUGAUAGUUGCAAAUGACAACUCUCAGUUCGUAGCAGCCAACGACAAUUUUGUCGCUGGUGACGAAGCUAUCGCUGCCUAAUUGGGCCGCGUAGCACAGCUACUUCAAUUCCUUAGGCAUUGAACCGUUUAAGGUGGGGUUUUGGGGCCGGCGUCCUAGCAACAGAAAGCCGGUCCU